GGUCUCGUAGCUCAGCUGGUAGACCGUGCGCGUACAAAACGUUGGCGGCGUCCAUGCGUGGGUUCGAAUCCCACCGAGGCUA
RNAcentral lists this transfer RNA (82 nucleotides) under Echinostoma caproni. It matches the Rfam family "tRNA". From Rfam's summary of the family: Transfer RNA (tRNA) molecules are approximately 80 nucleotides in length. Lineage: Eukaryota; Metazoa; Platyhelminthes; Trematoda; Plagiorchiida; Echinostomatidae. The record is from Rfam by way of RNAcentral.